UGCGUAGGUGGUUUCUUAAGUCAGAGGUGAGAGGCUACGGCUCAACCGUAGUAAGCCUUUGAAACUGGGAAACUUGAGUGCAGGAGAGGAGAGUGGAAUUCCUAGUGUAGCGGUGAAAUGCGUAGAUAUUAGGAGGAACACCAGUUGCGAAGGCGGCUCUCUGGACUGUAACUGACACUGAGGCACGAAAGCGUGGGGAGCAAACA
Molecule: ribosomal RNA, 206 nt
Filed under: uncultured bacterium
Lineage: Bacteria
Description: partial 16S ribosomal RNA
Rfam family: Bacterial small subunit ribosomal RNA
Source: RNAcentral